RNAcentral lists this ribosomal RNA (393 nucleotides) under uncultured bacterium. RNAcentral describes it as "partial 16S ribosomal RNA". It matches the Rfam family "Bacterial small subunit ribosomal RNA", at positions 523 to 918 of the family's 1533-position model. The record is from RNAcentral.
AUACGGAGGAUGCGAGCGUUAUCCGGAUUUAUUGGGUUUAAAGGGAGCGUAGGUGGGAUAUUAAGUCAGCUGUGAAAGUUUGGGGCUCAACCUUAAAAGUGCAGUUGAUACUGGUUUCCUUGAGUACGGUACAGGUGGGCGGAAUUCGUGGUGUAGCGGUGAAAUGCUUAGAUAUCACGAAGAACUCCGAUCGCGCAGGCAGCUCCCCGGGCCGGAACUGACCAUGAUGCUCGAAAGUGCGGGUAUCAAACAGGAUUAGAUACCCUGGUAGUCCGCACAGUAAACGAUGAAUACUCGCUGUUUGCGAUACACUGUAAGCGGCCAAGCGAAAGCGUUAAGUAUUCCACCUGGGGAGUACGCCGGCAACGGUGAAACUCACAGGAAUUGACGGGG